Molecule: long non-coding RNA, 270 nt
Organism: Mytilus trossulus (common blue mussel)
Lineage: Eukaryota; Metazoa; Mollusca; Bivalvia; Mytilida; Mytilidae
Exons: 2
Source: RefSeq, a predicted model, not a curated record
GUUACCAGUGUUGAUUUUUUAUUGUUUAACAGAAAUUCUAUCGAUUUUUCAUAAGUUUUCCCGGACUAUUUUUUAUUGCUAGAUUUUUGUACUUUGAAGUUCGUUACUGUCCCCCUUACUUUUUUGUUUCCUAAAUUGAAAGCAUGAACGUGGUCACAGGCAUUUAAAAGUAUCGUAAACUACGCCAACUCACAAUCUUUUUACCAACAUCACAGCACACAUAUGUAGAACUUGUUAUUUCAUGGUUUUCGAAAUAAAUGAUAUACAUUA